UGGGGAAUAUUGCACAAUGGGGGAAACCCUGAUGCAGCAACGCCGCGUGAGUGAAGAAGCUCUUCGGAGCGUAAAACUCUGUCCUAAGGGAAGAAGCCUGACGGUACCUUAGGAGGAAGCCCCGGCUAACUACGUGCCAGCAGCCGCGGUAAUACGUAGGGGGCGAGCGUUAUCCGGAAUUACUGGGCGUAAAGCGUGCGUAGGCGGUCAUGCAAGCUUGGGGUUUAAAGCUGCGGCUUAACCGCAGUGCGCCCUUAGAACUGUAUGGCUUGAGUGCAGGAGAGGAGAGUGGAAUUCCUAGUGUAGCGGUGAAAUGCGUAGAGAUUAGGAGGAACACCAGUGGCGAAGGCGACUCUCUGGACUGUAACUGACGCUGAGGCACGAAAGCGUGGGGAGCAAACAGG
Molecule: ribosomal RNA, 404 nt
Filed under: uncultured bacterium
Lineage: Bacteria
Description: bacterial SSU rRNA
Rfam family: Bacterial small subunit ribosomal RNA
Source: RNAcentral